Molecule: ribosomal RNA, 425 nt
Filed under: uncultured bacterium
Lineage: Bacteria
Description: partial 16S ribosomal RNA
Rfam family: Bacterial small subunit ribosomal RNA
Source: RNAcentral
GUGGGGAAUCUUGCGCAAUGGGCGAAAGCCUGACGCAGCCAUGCCGCGUGAAUGAUGAAGGUCUUAGGAUUGUAAAAUUCUUUCACCGGGGACGAUAAUGACGGUACCCGGAGAAGAAGCCCCGGCUAACUUCGUGCCAGCAGCCGCGGUAAUACGAAGGGGGCUAGCGUUGCUCGGAUUUACUGGGCGUAAAGGGCGCGUAGGCGGACAUUUAAGUCAGAGGUGAAAUCCCGGGGCUCAACCUCGGAACUGCCUUUAAUACUGGGUGUCUUGAGUAUGAGAGAGGUGUGUGGAACUCCGAAUGUAGAGGUGAAAUUCGUAGAUAUUCGGAAGAACACCAGUGGCGAAGGCGACACACUGGCUCAUUACUGACGCUGAGGCGCGAAAGCGUGGGGAGCAAACAGGAUUAGAUACCCGUGUAGUCC